UACUUGUACCGACUGGAUGAGCAGCGAACGGGUGAGUAACGCGUGGGGAAUCUGCCUUUGAGCGGGGGACAACAUUUGGAAACGAAUGCUAAUACCGCAUAAAAACUUUAAACACAAGUUUUAAGUUUGAAAGAUGCAAUUGCAUCACUCAAAGAUGAUCCCGCGUUGUAUUAGCUAGUUGGUGAGGUAAAGGCUCACCAAGGCGAUGAUACAUAGCCGACCUGAGAGGGUGAUCGGCCACAUUGGGACUGAGACACGGCCCAAACUCCUACGGGAGGCAGCAGUAGGGAAUCUUCGGCAAUGGACGAAAGUCUGACCGAGCAACGCCGCGUGAGUGAAGAAGGUUUUCGGAUCGUAAAACUCUGUUGGUAGAGAAGAACGUUGGUGAGAGUGGAAAGCUCAUCAAGUGACGGUAACUACCCAGAAAGGGACGGCUAACUACGUGCCAGCAGCCGCGGUAAUACGUAGGUCCCGAGCGUUGUCCGGAUUUAUUGGGCGUAAAGCGAGCGCAGGUGGUUUAUUAAGUCUGGUGUAAAAGGCAGUGGCUCAACCAUUGUAUGCAUUGGAAACUGGUAGACUUGAGUGCAGGAGAGGAGAGUGGAAUUCCAUGGG
RNAcentral lists this ribosomal RNA (612 nucleotides) under Lactococcus lactis. Its description in RNAcentral is "bacterial SSU rRNA". It matches the Rfam family "Bacterial small subunit ribosomal RNA", at positions 77 to 675 of the family's 1533-position model. Lineage: Bacteria; Bacillati; Bacillota; Bacilli; Lactobacillales; Streptococcaceae. The record is from RNAcentral.